RNAcentral lists this long non-coding RNA (734 nucleotides) under Setaria viridis. RNAcentral describes it as "long non-coding RNA (SVIR_LNC006180)". The record is from RNAcentral. Lineage: Eukaryota; Viridiplantae; Streptophyta; Magnoliopsida; Poales; Poaceae.
GGGUGCUUUGGAUGGUGGUCUGGAUAUUCCUCACAGUGACAAGAGGUUUGCUGGUUUCAAGAAGGAUGAGAAGAACCUGGAUGCUGAGAUCCACCGCAAGUACAUCUAUGGUGGCCAUGUUGCCGACUACAUGAGGGUGAGUUGUGCAUGUUGCUUGUCAGAUUGUAACCCUUUGUUCCUUUGUGUUGAUUGUGGUAUCUAUUUGGAGGUCUUUACUAAUUCUCACCACUAUUAUUUCUUAUUAUUUUUCCAGACUCUGGCUGAGGAGGAGCCAGAGAAGUACCAGGCUCACUUCAGUGAGUACAUCAAGAAGGGAAUUGAGGCUGAUGACAUGGAAGCUCUGUACAAGAAGGUCCAUGCUGCUAUCCGUGGUGAACCUACCAUGGCCAAGAUAACCAAGCAGCCACCAAAGGAGCACAAGAGGUAUAACAAGGCAGCCACCAAUCUAGCGAACUGUUGUCUACAUCUUGAUGCCUUUACCUACCUUAAUUCCAUAAACUGCAUAGCUCUAACAAUUAUUUUUCCUUUAGGUACAACCCCAAGAAGCUGACCUAUGAGCAGAGGAAGGCCAGCCUCGUCGAAAGGCUCAACGCCCUCAACUCCUCGGGUGGUGCUGAUGACGACGAUGAUGAGGAUGACGAGUGAAGUGUAGUCCCAUCGUAGUAGUUCUAUCUUAUGUGGUGAUCUGAACUUGUGCUGUGGCACUUAUUUACCUGUAGUCCUGCAACAGGCAU